UACGAAGGGGGCUAGCGUUGCUCGGAAUUACUGGGCGUAAAGGGAGCGUAGGCGGACAUUUAAGUCAGGGGGUGAAAUCCCAGAGCUCAACUCUGGAACUGCCUUUGAUACUGGAUGUCUUGAGUGUGAGAGAGGUAAGUGGAACUCCGAGUGUAGAGGUGAAAUUCGUAGAUAUUCGGAAGAACACCAGUGGCGAAGGCGACUUACUGGCUCAUUACUGACGCUGAGGCUCGAAAGCGUGGGGAGCAACAGG
RNAcentral lists this ribosomal RNA (253 nucleotides) under uncultured bacterium. RNAcentral describes it as "partial 16S ribosomal RNA". It matches the Rfam family "Bacterial small subunit ribosomal RNA", at positions 524 to 775 of the family's 1533-position model. The record is from RNAcentral.